RNAcentral lists this long non-coding RNA (204 nucleotides) under Brassica rapa (field mustard). RNAcentral's name for it is "long non-coding RNA (BRAP_LNC003425)". The record is from RNAcentral. Lineage: Eukaryota; Viridiplantae; Streptophyta; Magnoliopsida; Brassicales; Brassicaceae.
AUAAAUCAUAUAUUAAAAUUAUUAAAAUAAUAAAGAAUAAACAACAAUAAUUAAAUUAUUAUAGUAGACUUCCAAAAAGGUCUACUAUGUUAUAGUAAGAUCUACUCCAAAAUUUUAAUUUUAGUAGACUUCAAACAAAGUCUACAGUAUCGUAAAUUUUAACCUAGUUACAUUUUUGUCUCCCUAUAUAAACAAAAUUUAUAC